CUGGAUAUGAUGCAUAACACAUUAACUGUGAUGGUCAGUGAUGCCUGUUGUAUUCAUACUGUCUGAUCCAG
Molecule: small nucleolar RNA, 71 nt
Organism: Oncorhynchus kisutch (coho salmon)
Lineage: Eukaryota; Metazoa; Chordata; Actinopteri; Salmoniformes; Salmonidae
Source: Ensembl